AUCGCUUCUCGGCCUUUUGGCUAAGAUCAAGUGUAGUAUCUGUUCUUAUCAGUUUAAAAAGGAAGGGGAACCUCUAGAUGAAUCAGAUCUGAGAGUUUGAGAAUUAAACUCAUUCUGUCACCUAAAAUCAAGCUCUAAAAAUGAUUAAUGAUUUGGAUUUACUUGAGAUAAUGUGCUUUUUCUCGUAUUUUAC
Molecule: small nuclear RNA, 193 nt
Organism: Cynocephalus volans (Philippine flying lemur)
Lineage: Eukaryota; Metazoa; Chordata; Mammalia; Dermoptera; Cynocephalidae
Product: U2 spliceosomal RNA
Exons: 1
Source: RefSeq, a predicted model, not a curated record